GACGCUCACCUUUGCCCAACCCAACUGUACCCUCAUGAAGACUCAACCUCACUCUCCAUCAACAUUCCCUCUCAACAACUCAAUCAGACCCAUCUUAACAACCUCAAAACAGGAUCCAUUAAUUCAUCAAUAUAGUUUAUUUAUUGUAAAUUGGGUUUAAUUAACAAUUUUAAUUUGGGGGAUUAGAAGUGCUAACCCGUCGCCUCUGUAAGAAUUUAACGGGGCAACUAAUAGAGUUCAAUUGUAGUAAAUUUCAAAGUUCAUGGUAUAUUUAUUAAGAAAAUAAUUUAGGGUACAAUUGUAAAAAAGGUAGAGCUUGGGGUUUUUUUGGACAUUUUCA
This 340-nucleotide unclassified non-coding RNA is filed under the name Hevea brasiliensis (rubber tree). The record is from RNAcentral. Lineage: Eukaryota; Viridiplantae; Streptophyta; Magnoliopsida; Malpighiales; Euphorbiaceae.